Molecule: ribosomal RNA, 468 nt
Filed under: uncultured bacterium
Lineage: Bacteria
Description: partial 16S ribosomal RNA
Rfam family: Bacterial small subunit ribosomal RNA
Source: RNAcentral
GACGAACGCUGGCGGCGUGCUUAACACAUGCAAGUCGAACGGAAAGGCCCUGCUUUUGUUGGGUGCUCGAGUGGCGAACGGGUGAGUAACACGUGAGUAACCUGCCCUUGACUUUGGGAUAACUUCAGGAAACUGGGGCUAAUACCGGAUAGGAGCUCCUGCUGCAUGGUGGGGGUUGGAAAGUUUCGGCGGUUGGGGAUGGACUAGCGGCUUAUCAGCUUGUUGGUGGGGUAGUGGCUUACCAAGGCUUUGACGGGUAGCCGGCCUGAGAGGGUGACCGGCCACAUUGGGACUGCGAUACGGCCCAGACUCGUACGGGAGGCAGCAGUGGGAAAUCUUGCACAAUGGGCGGAAGCCUGAUGUAGCAACGCCGCGUGCGGGAUGACGUCCUUCGGGUUGUAAACCGCUUUCGCCUGUGACGAAGCGUGAGUGACGGUAAUGGGUAAAGAAGCACCGGCUAACUACGUG